RNAcentral lists this transfer RNA (72 nucleotides) under Myxococcales bacterium. RNAcentral's name for it is "tRNA-Phe". It matches the Rfam family "tRNA". Rfam says of the family: Transfer RNA (tRNA) molecules are approximately 80 nucleotides in length. Their secondary structure includes four short double-helical elements and three loops (D, anti-codon, and T loops). The record is from RNAcentral. Lineage: Bacteria; Pseudomonadati; Myxococcota; Myxococcia; Myxococcales.
CCCGCGGUAGCUCAACUGGCAGAGCGAUCGGCUGAAACCCGGUGCGUGGGGGUUCGAGACCCUCCCGCGGGA